UAUACACUAAAAAACAAUAAAUUGUGCACUUUGAAAGGGCAAAUGUUAUGGUAUGUGAAUUCUAGCCAGCUAUCUACCUAUUUAAAAGAACUGGGAAAGAUGAGAGGAAGGCAGCUCCAGUUCUUAUAUUUGAGGUUAGAUCCUCCUAUGAUUGUUCAGUCUCCACCUAUAGAACCGCUACUAUCUUAACUUCCUGGUUAUGUAUAAUUAACACACUGCAUAUUUAUAACAAAAUACAGACACUAUUUGCUAUGUCUGAAGGAUGUAAUGUCAUAAGUUAACAAUGUAUAAGUCAAAAUCAACUUUUGAAUAGGAAAUACUGCUAAUUACAUUAGGAUACCGGAAGAAACUGUCAGCUCCCUGGUUUGAUCCACUAAGGAGAAAGGAAGCCAACAAGAAAGGAAGACUGGAAACACUUACCUGCAUGCUCCAACUUGGCUGGUGAGCUUAAACAUUUCCAAAGAACACUCAGGUUUCCCCAGCAUCAGAACUUCUAAGGGAAGAAGGAGGAUUUCUUUCUGGAUAGGAGACAAGGAGGAGAUGUGGUUUGUUAAAGAUACAAGAGUAACUUCCAGAGCAAGAAUAAAAAAUAGAACAAAUGAGAAAGGAGAAUCAAAUGUUAAAUAAAGAUUUCUUAAACUGUUUUCAUUUGCAAUCCCUUUUUUUUUACAACUAGAGUGAUUGCUAUCUCUAUCAUGUAGCUUAAAGUAGCUUGCAGACCAUUAUCUUACAGUGUUAUAUGUGUAUAAAUAAAAUACCUAAAUUGUUUCCAAAUCAAGUUGAUCUGUAACAUACAGAUUUCAUAACCACAUUUCAAAUUUACUGAAUUCAGAAUAUCCAGAGAUGACUAGUUGAUGAUAAUGAUGAAAAUAACAACAACAAUAAUAAACUUGGAGUAUGAUUUUUAUGAUCAGCCAUGUUUGAAAAUGAUCAGGCACCAUUAUGAAAGACAAAACACACACAAACCAUAAAGUGCAUAUGCUUUAAAAAAUGUGAUAUGAAAUCUGAAAUGAGUGAAUUAAGGAUAUAGAAAGAGGAAAUGUUUUCUGUAAUAUAUGUCCAGUUAAUAGCGAUACUGCAUAAGAAUCCAGGUUUAUUAAUAUAGUGUAUUGGUUGAGCCCUCUGCUUCCCUUUCUCUUCAGUUCACACAGAUAUUAUGAAAUUUAAGAUGUAAUGAUUGAUGGUACAUCAGUUUCUUGCAUUAGCUUUAAAAUCUUAAAGGACCAAUAAAAUCUCCAAGGACAAAUAAAACAUUUCACUUUUGCACAUAAUAUUAGAAAAACCUUAAAAUUAAAUUUUAAUUUAUGAAUUUGGAAGACCAUUUCACCAGCGGUAAAAACAUGAAGCAGUAGAUGGUGGUUGCCUCUAGGGAGUAUGAUGAAAGUGAUAAUAUAUAUGUAGAUUGGGAGGGAUACUCAUGUUGUAUAAAGUUUUGCUAUUUUAACUUUUCAAAAAUUAAGAUUCAUAAAUUUGGUUUUCACAUUUUAAAAGGUGUACAGAAAAAAGAAACUAUAAUCUAUCCAAGAAAACUUACUAGAUUAGUUUUCUUAUAGCUUCAUAACAAAUUAGCAUAAAGGUAGCAGCUUAAAAAAAACAUAAAUUUAUUAUCCCACAGUGUCUGUGAGUCAGAAUCUAGGGGUAUCUUAACUGGGUACUCUGCAAUAAUAGCCAAACCUGGGUUCUCAUGUGGAAGAUAGACUAGGGAAGAUUCUGUUUCCAGACUCACUUGGACUGAUAGACUAAGGGCCCUAAUUUUUGUCUCAUGGUUGGAAGCUGCCUUCAGCUCCUAAAAGCCUCCCUCAGUUUCUUGCCAACUGAGCUUCGUAAAAUAGUUAUUUACUUCAAAGUCAUCAAGAGAGUUACACAUAACACAAUCAUGGGAGAGACAUCCCAUUACCUUUCCCAUAUUCCAUUGAUUAAAAGAUAGUCACAGGAUGAGUCAUGACUUAGCUUUUUUUUUUUUUAGAUCUUGUUGACAUAACAGAGACUAUUUUAGAAGGAAAGAACUUAUUUAUUGACACUCAGUAUUGUGUCAGGUACUUUGCUAAGCACUAUAAACUAUUUGCAUAUAGUAUUUCUUAUGGAAUUCCUAUAAAGCAGUUACUACCAGUGCAAUUUUCUGAUGACAAAUCAGUUAUUUUCUUGGUAUGACACAAAUAACAAGUAUUAGGACAUGAAUUUUAACCAAAGAUGUGCCUUAAUCAAAGUUUUUCUCUUUUCACUUUAAUACAUUACUAUGUUGGCAGGCUAGAGGUUAUAAAAGUUUCAUUUGCUCACCACUUUGAACAAGAUAGUACAUGUUUAAAGGGCAGAAGUGAAAAGGGAUAUGAAAAAAUAGAAGCAUUAUUAAAUCAAUUAGCAUAUGACUUCACAAUACUAGAAUUAAUCCACUUUGUAUUAUUUUUAAUUAUUUAAUUACAAAUACACAACUUUGACACUGAAGACAUUCCUUAGAAAUGAGUCUAAUGGAUUAGACCAAAUCCAGGUUUUCUAAGGAAUAGCUAAAGAAUUUACAGUUUUUCCAAAUGGACCCUUCUUUGAAAGUUAAAUAGUAAUAAAAUCCACUUAUAAUUUUUUUCAUAAUUGGCAAUAGCAAUUUCUGCAUUUUAGAUUAAUUGCUAAGAAUUUUCAUUUCCCAUAGGUGGCAGCAUGAAUGUCAAUAGAAUAUUCAUUACUAUCCAUAUUAGUUCAGAUCUUCUAUCAUAAUGGCAAAGUACUAUUUUGGGAGUUUUCUGACUCCAUUACAUCUUUUGAAUCUACUUUAGAAUUAAAGAAGGAAAUGAGUCAUUUAUUUUGUUAAAGUAUAAUUGUAAGUAACAGUGUAAUUCUGCACCUUUUGUGUGAAAGCUUUUCUUCUUAUUUUUUUGUCUUUUGUCUUUUUAGGACGUACCCGCCGCAUAUGGAGAUUGCCAGCCUAGGAGUCGAAUGGGAGCUGUAGCUGCUGUGGGCCUACUCUACAGCCACAGCAAUGUGGGAUCUGAGCUGCAUCUGCCACCUACACCACAGCUUAUGGUAACGCCGGAUCCUUAACCCACAGAGCAAGGCCAGGGAUUGAAACUGCAUCCUCAUGGAUACUAGUUGGGUUCAUUAACUACUGAGCCAUGACGGGGAACUCCUAAUCAUUACUAUUUAACUAAUUUUACAUAAAUGAAAAUUAAAAACUAAGAUUAAAAUUUAAAAAAUUAAAUUUUUAAAUUUUAAUUUUUACAUAAAUGAAAAUUAAAAACUAAGAUUAAAGUUUAAAAAAUUAAUAACUUUAAUUGGUAUAUCUGAGUGGUCAAUAUACUACUGUCACAACUGACAACAUAGUCAUACUAUAAUGAUUAGCAAAUUCUCUUAUGAUGCAUAGAAUUCUUUCUGUAUAUGUGUGAAAAAGUGUGUAUGUGUAAUACUGUAUGCAUAUUUUCUGAUUGAAUCAGCUCUCUUGAACUGUAUGUAUUUUAAAAGUUUGCUCAUUUCUUUGAAUUUUUCAAAGCACUCAGAAAAAGGGUUCACAUUUGCAUUUUAAGGAAUGCUAAAGAUUCAAUCAACUGUAAGCUGAUUUUUACAUACCCUUUGAAACAAUGGAAAUUUUUUUCACUCUCCCAAGUGUAAAACUUAAAUUCUAAUUACAUAAAUUCUAAAAGAAGAGAAAAAGAGUUCAGUUGCAGUUAACUUUAGGUUAAUGUUCAACCGGAAAGAUGUUUUACCUUAAAGUUUCUCUGUAUUUGUUUUCUUUCUUUCUUUUUUCUUUCUUUUUUUUUUUUUGGUAGGCUUUUCUCUUCUAUAUUUUGUAUAACAUUAGCUAUGGAGAAUCCACUGUAUUCUGGAGAAAUGGCAUAUUUCAGAGAAAGUGUCCUGUAUUUUAAGACAGGAAAUAUUUUAACAUAUUUCCCUACCUUUAUGUAUCCUGCUUUAUGCUUCAAAAGCAUGGUAGCAGUUCAGCCUUCAAAUAUCUGCCUUUUAUAACCUAUCUCCUAGGAUAUGUUCCAAAACAAUGAGGUAUAUUGUUGACAAAGAAGUAAAUGUAAUAAUCAGGCAAUAAACCAAGAGUAUUUGCAGCACUACAUAAAAAGACAAAUUAAGAAGACUACCAUGGUAUCCAGAAGCCAUCUGUUAACCAAUGUCAAACUGAUGAUAAAGAAAAUUGAGUUCCCUUGGCAGUUGGUUUUUCUCCAGCUGCGUGCAGCUAUAAAAGAGCCAUCAAAGACAAAUCUGCAUUUGUUGUUAAUUCAGAAAUUCAGUAGAAAGGCAUUGAGAAACCUCUAGUGACAACUUUUUACUCUGAAAGUUGAUGCUAAGAUUCCCAGAAAAGUUAUACAUUAGACCUUGGAUCAGCAUUAAGACCAUCUUGAUAGAGUAAAAAGAAGAUGAUCAAUACAAUUCUUGUAGGUGUGUGCAACACUCAAAUACAAUAAAAAUAUAUUUAUAGCAUGACAUGAGUGAAUCACUUCUAAAGUAAUCAGCCAUAAACGUUAGUUGAUUACCUAUACAUGCAUCCCAUUUACUAUUAAACAUAUCUUAAGGUGAACCUCACUUUAAGCAAAGCCUUGAGAUAGAGCAAUACCAGAAAAUAAUCAUAAAUUUGGAUUAUUAUUAAGCCCUGAUAAAGACUAAUGUGAAAGAUUAAGUUAAGGUGCCCUUCAGAAUGAUUGUAAUACUAACGCUCAAUGGAAACUUGAAGAAGUUAACAUGAUGCUGUGAAGAGGUUGGGAUCUAAAGUCAAGCAAAAGUGAUGCUUCAAAUUCACACUUCAUUCCUUAUUAGUUAUAUGACCUUGGGCAUAUUACUUAAUCUGUUCUAAUGUGUAUAGAAAAAUGAGAAUGAUAAUACCCUUGCAGGGAUGUUGAAAGAAUAAAAUGAAUUAAUGGAUGUCAAAACUUAUUUCUGUCAAAUAAAGCAUUAAAUGUCUUAUCAAUGGAUUACUGAAGCAAUACUAAUUGCUAAGGACUUUAAACUUAUUGUGGAAAGGUCACUGGGCUGAAGAUCAGGAAAUCUAGCUUGUUCUUCCAGCUUUGCCAUAAAUUAGCUAUGUGACCCUGUACAAAUCAUUUAAGUUCUUGGGACCACAGUUUUUACUCUUAUCCUAAAUUGAGGUUGGGAUAGGCAUGGAAUUAAAAUACCUCUGUUAAUUCUAAAAUCCUAUAAUUCCAAGUACUUGGAUUUCAAAACUAAAUGCAGAAUAUAAAAUCACAAAUCUGUGGAACAAUCAAAUCAUUCCAAUCACUGGCAUAUGUUUACUGAUUUUAUUUUAAAAGAAAAAUAGUGGGAAGUUACGUUUAAUACUCCACUUAAGGUCUAAAUUUCUUACAUAUGUUUGUAUUGAAAUGCAUUUAAGUAAACAUGUGUUUAAGUUACUUACUAAAGGUGCCCGGUUGAACUAGAUGUUUGACUUUUCCUGUCCCAACAGGUUAGAAUUUUAAAGU
Molecule: long non-coding RNA, 5405 nt
Filed under: Sus scrofa (pig)
Lineage: Eukaryota; Metazoa; Chordata; Mammalia; Artiodactyla; Suidae
Description: lncRNA (ENSSSCG00000059237.1)
Source: RNAcentral